This 484-nucleotide ribosomal RNA is filed under the name uncultured bacterium. RNAcentral's name for it is "partial 16S ribosomal RNA". It matches the Rfam family "Bacterial small subunit ribosomal RNA", at positions 29 to 507 of the family's 1533-position model. The record is from RNAcentral.
AUUGAACGCUGGCGGAAUGCUUUACACAUGCAAGUCGAGCGGCAGCGCGGCCUUCGGGCUGGCGGCGAGCGGCGAACGGGUGAGUAAUGCAUCGGAACAUGCCCAGUCGUGGGGGAUAACACUUCGAAAGAAGUGCUAAUACCGCAUACGUCCUGAGGGGGAAAGCGGGGGAUCGCAAGACCUCGCGCGAUUGGAGUGGCCGAUGUCAGAUUAGCUAGUUGGUGGGGUAAAGGCCUACCAAGGCGACGAUCUGUAGCUGGUCUGAGAGGAUGAUCAGCCACACUGGGACUGAGACACGGCCCAGACUCCUACGGGAGGCAGCAGUGGGGAAUUUUGGACAAUGGGGGCAACCCUGAUCCAGCCAUUCCGCGUGAGUGAAGAAGGCCCUCGGGUUGUAAAGCUCUUUCGGCAGGAACGAAACGGUGGGCUCUAACAUAGUCCGCUAAUGACGGUACCUGAAGAAGAAGCACCGGCUAACUACGUG